RNAcentral lists this ribosomal RNA (253 nucleotides) under uncultured bacterium. Its description in RNAcentral is "partial 16S ribosomal RNA". It matches the Rfam family "Bacterial small subunit ribosomal RNA", at positions 524 to 776 of the family's 1533-position model. The record is from RNAcentral.
UACGUAGGGGGCUAGCGUUGUCCGGAAUCAUUGGGCGUAAAGCGCGUGUAGGCGGUCCGGUACGUCCGCUGUGAAAGUCGGGGGCUCAACCCUCGGAUGCCGGUGGAUACUGUCGGGCUUGAGUACGGAAGAGGCGAGUGGAAUUCCUGGUGUAGCGGUGAAAUGCGCAGAUAUCAGGAGGAACACCAAUUGCGAAGGCAGCUCGCUGGGACGUUACUGACGCUGAGACGCGAAAGCGUGGGGAGCAAACAGG